RNAcentral lists this ribosomal RNA (155 nucleotides) under Origanum syriacum. RNAcentral's name for it is "5.8S ribosomal RNA". It matches the Rfam family "5.8S ribosomal RNA". From Rfam's summary of the family: 5.8S ribosomal RNA (5.8S rRNA) is a component of the large subunit of the eukaryotic ribosome. It is transcribed by RNA polymerase I as part of the 45S precursor that also contains 18S and 28S rRNA. Functionally, it is thought that 5.8S rRNA may be involved in ribosome translocation. The record is from RNAcentral. Lineage: Eukaryota; Viridiplantae; Streptophyta; Magnoliopsida; Lamiales; Lamiaceae.
CUCGGCAACGGAUAUCUCGGCUCUCGCAUCGACGAAGAACGUAGCGAAAUGCGAUACUUGGUGUGAAUUGCAGAAUCCCGUGAACCAUCGAGUCUUUGAACGCAAGUUGCGCCCGAAGCCAUUAGGCUGAGGGCACGUCUGCCUGGGCGUCACGC